Molecule: ribosomal RNA, 445 nt
Filed under: uncultured bacterium
Lineage: Bacteria
Description: SSU rRNA
Rfam family: Bacterial small subunit ribosomal RNA
Source: RNAcentral
AGAGCGAACGCUGGCGGCAGGCCUAAUACAUGCAAGUCGAACGGACCCUUCGGGGUUAGUGGCGGACGGGUGAGUAACACGUGGGAACGUGCCCUUUGGUUCGGAACAACUCAGGGAAACUUGAGCUAAUACCGAAUGUGCCCUUUGGGGGAAAGAUUUAUCGCCAUUGGAGCGGCCCGCGUCUGAUUAGCUAGUUGGUGAGGUAAAGGCUCACCAAGGCGACGAUCAGUAGCUGGUCUGAGAGGAUGAUCAGCCACACUGGGACUGAGACACGGCCCAGACUCCCACGGGAGGCAGCAGUAGGGAAUCUUGCGCAAUGGGCGAAAGCCUGACGCAGCCAUGCCGCGUGAAUGAUGAAGGUCUUAGGAUUGUAAAAUUCUUUCAGCGGGGACGAUAAUGACGGUACCGCAGAAGAAGCCCCGGCUAACUUCGUGCCAGCAGCCGC